RNAcentral lists this long non-coding RNA (1138 nucleotides) under Ananas comosus (pineapple). RNAcentral describes it as "long non-coding RNA (ACOM_LNC036275)". The record is from RNAcentral. Lineage: Eukaryota; Viridiplantae; Streptophyta; Magnoliopsida; Poales; Bromeliaceae.
AGAAUUCGAUUUUCUAUUUUUAGGACGUCGUUCGAUUUUUACUGUUUAUUUUUAUACUCGCUUGGUAGUUUUUAUUAUGAUUUUAAAAAAGAUUAAAAUUUAUUUUUAAAAUAUUUUAAAUGUUUUAAAUUAUGUUUAACUAUAUAGAUUCAAUUCAGUAAUUUUAUUAUUAAAAAUAAUUUAUAAGUAUGAAAAACUCCCUACUCAUAAAAAUACAAGAGACAUGAAUCCAGCUACUAAUCCUUUUAGGAUGAUGGAGGUUUUCGUUUCCUAAAUCGUUUCAGAUGAUAGGAAUUUUGAAUCAAUGAUCGGAACCGUUAAAAUUAAUUACAGUAUUUAAAAUAUUUAGAAACUAAAUUUUAUGAAUUUUUAAAAAUUAUUUACUUAGUAAUCAAAGUAUCACAAAAUCGAUAAUUUUCACGGUCUAUAUAAGCCGUUCUCUUGUUUAACAGUGUAGAAUAAUCCAAACAAUUUGAAUUUUCGAUAAAAAUUUUUUUAUACUAUUUAGAUAACGUUCGGUAUCUCCGAUCAUGAAUUAAAAAAAGCCUAACUUCUAUUUUCACAAACUUACUCAUUUUUGAUAUUUUAUUUUUUGACUUUUUAAUGAACUCGAUAAGAAAUUUUGAAAUUUAUAAAAUAUAUUUUUUAGACAUUAUAAAUAAUCUAAAUUAACUUUAACAUUUUUAUUAUCAAUUCAAAAUUACUAUAAUUUAGAUUACUUAAAUUAUUUUAAAAUAAUUUAGAAUGACGAAAAUCUCGGUCCUCAUACUAAAAAAGAUUACGGAAAACUUCAAAAAACCCCCCCUGUGGUUUCGUAGUUUCUCACUUUGCCCCCCUGUGGUUUAAAAUGUAUCAAAUUGUCCCUCUGUGGUUUCGUUUUUAUUUUUUCAGUAGCUUUUUCGUUAAUAUUUUAUUAAAUUAUAUACAAAAAACUUCAGAUAUCCAUCUAGAUUUAUCAAAUAGUCACUUUAGUACCCUUUAAUUUUAACUUUAUCAUUGAUUUAAGAAAAAAAAUAAAUAAAAUUGAUAAGAAAAAGAGAAAAAAGAAACCACGGGGGAGUAAAUUGAUAUAUUUUAAACCACAGAGGGGGAAAAUGAGAAACUAUGAAACCAAAUAGCAAAUUUUUGAAGUUUUCCC